GCCAUGAUGAGGUCCAGAGGCUGCAAUAUCGCCCUGAGUGAAGAGGAGAGAAAGUUGGAGUUACUCUGAACCCGAAAAGAUGAAUCAUUCAGACAGCUGCACUGAGGGCGAAGAUGAUGUUUUCGAAUCUCAACACGAACAGUCGAAAAGGUCAGAGGUCACCACCAAGGCAGCGGCAGGGGUGAUUCUCUGUGUUGUCCUGGCGACUGCCAUCUUUUUGAUUUUCUACUUCU
Molecule: long non-coding RNA, 233 nt
Organism: Archocentrus centrarchus (flier cichlid)
Lineage: Eukaryota; Metazoa; Chordata; Actinopteri; Cichliformes; Cichlidae
Exons: 3
Source: RefSeq, a predicted model, not a curated record